UUAAAGUUUUAUUCUUGCUUAAUGAUUUAUUUUAGUCUUGUUUUACAUGUAAGUUUUUGCGUGCGUUUUUUAUUUAUUCUUAAAGGAUUAAUAAUUUUAUUUUAUUCGCAGUAUUUAAUUUUAUUGAUCGAGGAAACUUGGAAUUAGUAAUGAUUUAUAGUACCGGCAAAAGUCGUGCCAGCAGCCGCGGUUACACGGAGGGUGCGAGUAAAUAUUGUUAGUUUAUAGUUAUAGGAUUUGACAUAGGAGUGAAAAUUAAAUUUGUUAGGUGAAAUUUUAAUUUUAAUUUAUUUCUUAAUGGAUUAUUAGAGGCUAUGAAAUUUAAAAGUUAAACUAGGAUUAGAUACCCUAUUAUUUUAAAUGUGAAUCAUGAAGACUUGAGUAGUAUUAGAUAUGUUCUUGAAACUCAAAGAAUUUGGCGGUGUUUUAGUCCUUUCAGAGGAACCUGUCCCGUAAUCGAUAGUCCACGUUUUACCUUACUUAAUCUUGUUUUCAGCUUGUAUACCGCCGUCGUCAGAAUGUCCUUGGAGGGGUUUAAUUUUCUUAAUUUUUUAUUAGAGUUGAUGUCAGGUCAAGGUGCAGCUUAUGGUUAAGUGGAGAUGGGUUACAAUAAAAAUAUUUAUAACGGAAAGUGAGUGGAAGAACUUAUUAGAAGGUGGAUUUGAUUGUAAUAAAUUUAAUUAAAUUAGUUUGAUUUUGGCUCUAAAACAUGCACACAUCGCCCGUCGCUCUCGUUAUUUAAGGCGAGAUAAGUCGUAACAUAGUAGGUGUACCGGAAGGUGUACCUGGAAAGUU
RNAcentral lists this non-coding RNA (795 nucleotides) under Klapopteryx armillata. Lineage: Eukaryota; Metazoa; Arthropoda; Insecta; Plecoptera; Austroperlidae. The record is from RNAcentral.